RNAcentral lists this ribosomal RNA (440 nucleotides) under uncultured bacterium. Its description in RNAcentral is "partial 16S ribosomal RNA". It matches the Rfam family "Bacterial small subunit ribosomal RNA", at positions 338 to 795 of the family's 1533-position model. The record is from RNAcentral.
CCUACGGGUGGCAGCAGUGAGGGAUAUUGGUCAAUGGGGGAAACCCUGAACCAGCAACGCCGCGUGAGGGAAGACGGCUUUCGGAUUGUAAACCUCUGUUCUCUGUGAAGAUAAUGACGGUAGCAGAGGAGGAAGCUCCGGCUAACUACGUGCCAGCAGCCGCGGUAACACGUAGGGAGCAAGCGUUGUCCGGAUUUACUGGGUGUAAAGGGUGCGUAGGCGGCCCUGCAAGUCAGAAGUGAAAUCCAUGGGCUUAACCCGUGAACUGCUUUUGAAACUGUAGGGCUUGAGUAAAGUAGAGGCAGGCGGAAUGCCCGGUGUAGCGGUGAAAUGCGUAGAGAUCAGGAGGAACACCAGUGGCGAAGGCAGCCUACUGGGCUUUAACUGACGCCGAGGCACGAAAGCGUGGGUAGCAAACAGGAUUAGAUACCCGAGUAGUC